This 433-nucleotide unclassified non-coding RNA is filed under the name soil metagenome. Its description in RNAcentral is "partial contains 5.8S ribosomal RNA, internal transcribed spacer 2, and large subunit ribosomal RNA". The stretch from base 1 to 120 matches the Rfam family "5.8S ribosomal RNA", at positions 35 to 154 of the family's 154-position model. The record is from RNAcentral.
GAUGAAGAACGUAGCGAAAUGCGAUACGUAAUGUGAAUUGCAGAAUUCAGUGAAUCAUCGAAUCUUUGGACGCAUAUUGCGCUCUCUGGUAUUCCGGAGAGCAUGCUUGUUUGAGUAUCAGUAAACACCUCAACUUCCAUAUCUUUUUUGAAAUGGGAGUUGGACUUGAGUGAUCCCAACGCUUUUCCUCACCGAAAAGUGGCGGGUUACUUGAAAUGCAGGUGCAGCUGGACUUUUCUCUGAGCUAUAAGCAUAUCUAUUUAGUCUGCCUAAAAAACAGAUUAUUACCUUUGCUGCAGCUAACAUAAAGGAGAUUAGUUCUUGUGCUGACUGAUGCAGGAUUCACAAAGACAGGCUUCGGCCGACUUUGUAAACUCGAUCUCAAAUCAAGUAAGACUACCCGCUGAACUUAAGCAUAUCAAUAAGCGGAGGA